UUCGCCCUUAGAGUUUGAUCCUGGCUCAGGACGAACGCUGGCGGCGUGCCUAACACAUGCAAGUCGAGCGGGGACAAACGAGUAGCAAUAUGAGUUUGUUCUAGCGGCGGACGGGUGAGUAACGCGUGAGCAACCUGUCCCAGUCAGGGGGAUAACGAACCGAAAGGUUCCCUAAUACCGCAUGAGACCACAUUGCCGCAUGGCAAAGGGGUCAAAGGAGUAAUCCGGACUGGGGUGGGCUCGCGUCUGAUUAGCUAGUUGGUGGGGUAACGGCCUACCAAGGCGACGAUCAGUAGCCGACCUGAGAGGGUGAUCGGCCACAUUGGAACUGAGAAACGGUCCAAACUCCUACGGGAGGCAGCAGUGGGGAAUAUUGGGCAAUGGGCGAAAGCCUGACCCAGCAACGCCGCGUGAAGGAAGAAGGUUUUCGGAUCGUAAACUUCUAUCCUUGGUGAAGAUAAUGACGGUAGCCAAGAAGGAAGCCCCGGCUAACUACGUGCCAGCAGCCGCGGUAAUACGUAGGGGGCAAGCGUUGUCCGGAAUGAUUGGGCGUAAAGGGCGCGUAGGCGGCCUGGUAAGUCUGGAGUGAAAGUCCUGCUUUUAAGGUGGGAAUUGCUUUGGAUACUGUCGGGCUUGAGUGCAGGAGAGGUAAGUGGAAUUCCCGGUGUAGCGGUGAAAUGCGUAGAGAUCGGGAGGAACACCAGCGGCGAAGGCGACUUACUGGACUGUAACUGACGCUGAGGCGCGAAAGUGUGGGGAGCAAACAGGAUUAGAUACCCUGGUAGUCCACACUGUAAACGAUGAAU
This 806-nucleotide ribosomal RNA is filed under the name uncultured bacterium. Its description in RNAcentral is "bacterial SSU rRNA". It matches the Rfam family "Bacterial small subunit ribosomal RNA", at positions 1 to 814 of the family's 1533-position model. The record is from RNAcentral.